Equus asinus (donkey) is the source of this 146-nucleotide small nuclear RNA. Its record names the gene U4. It matches the Rfam family "U4 spliceosomal RNA". From Rfam's summary of the family: U4 small nuclear RNA (U4 snRNA) is a component of the major U2-dependent spliceosome. The record is from Ensembl. Lineage: Eukaryota; Metazoa; Chordata; Mammalia; Perissodactyla; Equidae.
AGCUUUGUGCAAUGGCAGUAUCGUAGCCAAUGAGGUUUAUCUGAGGCGCGAUUAUUGCUAAUAGAAAUAUACAUUAUGAUAACUGCACAUUUUUUUUGCAUGCUUGAUAAAAAAGGUUUACAAGCUUUAGUAAGAUUUUAAGGUGU